CCUGCGGAAGGAUCAUUAUUGAAUUGUGAAUGGGGCUUGAUGCUGGCUUGUCAUCCUUUGGCUGCAUGUGCUCGCCCCAGCAAUCCUUUUCCAAACACCUGUGCACCUUCCUUGUGAGAAUGUGAGAGAAAGGGCUUGUCUCUUUUAUCUCGUCUCAUGAUUCAUAAACGCUGCUUGUAAUGUUGAAUGCAUUUAUGCCGUCAAGGCUUUAACCUAAUACAACUUUUGACAACGGAUCUCUUGGCUCUCGCAUCGAUGAAGAACGCAGCGAAAUGCGAUAAGUAAUGUGAAUUGCAGAAUUCAGUGAAUCAUCGAAUCUUUGAACGCACCUUGCGCUCCCUGGUAUUCCGGGGAGCACGCCUGUUCGAGUGUCGUGAAACUAUCAAGCCAGGAUGCUUUCUUGCUUCCUGACCUUGGUUUAUUGGGCUUUGCCGUGCCCUUCAUUGGAACGGCUGGCCUUAAAAGCAUUAGCUGACUCCAUGUGGUUAUUGGUAUUCUACUUGGCGUGAUAAUAAUCUGACCGCUGAGAAAGUGUCCUUUCGGGGAUGGCCAAUUUUCAUGUGGGGUUGCUUCUAAUCUCUGGAGCUCAUGUUCCAUUUUCAACUUUGGCCUCGAAUCAGGUGGGACUACCCGCUGAACUUAAGCAUAUCAAUAAGCGGAGGAAAAGAAACUAACAAGGAUUCCCCUAGUAACGGCGAGUGAAGCGGGAAAAGCUCAAAUUUAAAAUCUGGCAGUCUUUCAGCUGUC
This 747-nucleotide ribosomal RNA is filed under the name Clavulina castaneipes. RNAcentral describes it as "eukaryotic LSU rRNA". The stretch from base 221 to 374 matches the Rfam family "5.8S ribosomal RNA". The record is from RNAcentral. Lineage: Eukaryota; Fungi; Basidiomycota; Agaricomycetes; Cantharellales; Hydnaceae.